CGGACGGGUGAGUAACGCGUGGAAAACCUGCCGUAUACUGGGGGAUAACACUUAGAAAUAGGUGCUAAUACCGCAUAAGCGCACAGCUUUGCAUGAAGCGGUGUGAAAAACUCUGGUGGUAUACGAUGGUUCCGCGUCUGAUUAGCUAGUUGGUGGGGGUAAUGGCCUACCAAGGCAACGAUCAGUAGCCGGCCUGAGAGGGUGAACGGCCACAUUGGGACUGAGACACGGCCCAAACUCCUACGGGAGGCAGCAG
RNAcentral lists this ribosomal RNA (256 nucleotides) under uncultured bacterium. RNAcentral's name for it is "partial 16S ribosomal RNA". It matches the Rfam family "Bacterial small subunit ribosomal RNA", at positions 99 to 354 of the family's 1533-position model. The record is from RNAcentral.